AUGUGGGGGAUAACCAUUGGAAACGAUGGCUAAUACCGCAUGAUGCCUACGGGCCAAAGAGGGGGACCUUCGGGCCUCUCGCGUCAGGAUAUGCCUAGGUGGGAUUAGCUAGUUGGUGAGGUAAGGGCUCACCAAGGCGACGAUCCCUAGCUGGUCUGAGAGGAUGAUCAGCCACACUGGAACUGAGACACGGUCCAGACUCCUACGGGAGGCAGCAGUGGGGAAUAUUGCACAAUGGGCGCAAGCCUGAUGCAGCCAUGCCGCGUGUGUGAAGAAGGCCUUCGGGUUGUAAAGCACUUUCAGUCGUGAGGAAGGUAGUGUAGUUAAUAGCUGCAUUAUUUGACGUUAGCGACAGAAGAAGCACCGGCUAACUCCGUGCCAGCAGCCGCGGUAAUACGGAGGGUGCGAGCGUUAAUCGGAAUUACUGGGCGUAAAGCGCAUGCAGGUGGUUUGUUAAGUCAGAUGUGAAAGCCCGGGGCUCAACCUCGGAAUUGCAUUUGAAACUGGCAGACUAGAGUACUGUAGAGGGGGGUAGAAUUUCAGGUGUAGCGGUGAAAUGCGUAGAGAUCUGAAGGAAUACCGGUGGCGAAGGCGGCCCCCUGGACAGAUACUGACACUCAGAUGCGAAAGCGUGGGGAGCAAACAGGAUUAGAUACCCUGGUAGUCCACGCCGUAAACGAUGUCUACUUGGAGGUUGUGGCCUUGAGCCGUGGCUUUCGGAGCUAACGCGUUAAGUAGACCGCCUGGGGAGUACGGUCGCAAGAUUAAAACUCAAAUGAA
RNAcentral lists this ribosomal RNA (780 nucleotides) under Vibrio parahaemolyticus. Its description in RNAcentral is "bacterial SSU rRNA". It matches the Rfam family "Bacterial small subunit ribosomal RNA", at positions 134 to 909 of the family's 1533-position model. The record is from RNAcentral. Lineage: Bacteria; Pseudomonadati; Pseudomonadota; Gammaproteobacteria; Vibrionales; Vibrionaceae.